Molecule: long non-coding RNA, 603 nt
Organism: Alligator mississippiensis (American alligator)
Lineage: Eukaryota; Metazoa; Chordata; Crocodylia; Alligatoridae
Exons: 3
Source: RefSeq, a predicted model, not a curated record
GUAUUUAAGUUUCCUUUCACAGCAGUUGAAGAUAUCGUACAGCAUCUAGCACUAGUAUCUCAAAGAAAGCAAGAGACGAAAUCUGUGGCUGGCUUUAUUCCUUUGGUAAUCCAGGAAGAAACAAGUUUUGGUAAAAAAUGGAGGAGGAACAUUCCACCCUUAUCAUUUACGUGAACAACCAAGUUUGGGAUAAUAUUAGUGUCACAGUUAGUGCAAGGCCACUAUUCAAGCUGCUGGAUGGAAACGUGGUCUUCUUCUGGUUCAAAUGGCUGUCAUCCUGGAUCACAACAGGGGUUCGUCCAGGGCAAACAAAGAUAGUUAAUACAGUGACCAGCUGGAACUUCUUUACUCACAGUUUGGGCAAGCAUGGAUGGUGGCUUUAUUCUAUCCAGGUAUCGAAAAAUAAUGGUGAGACUGCAAAGUGUCUGACACCUCUUCAUUGUACCUGGAUUGUGACUACAGAUGGGAUCUACCAAGAAGAGGACCCUGAAAACCGCUGCAGAUUUAAAAGAGACCAUGAUGAGGCUUGCCUAUCUGUCUAGGGCAGUUCACCCUGAUUCACUUGCCAUGCCUUGUUGUAGUAAAUAAACUGAUGGAAAAAUA